UCCCAUGUGGCUCAGCUGGUAAAGAAUCCACCUGCAAUGUGGGAGACCUGGGUUCGAUCCCUGGGUUGGGAU
RNAcentral lists this transfer RNA (72 nucleotides) under Ovis aries (sheep). It matches the Rfam family "tRNA". Rfam says of the family: Transfer RNA (tRNA) molecules are approximately 80 nucleotides in length. Their secondary structure includes four short double-helical elements and three loops (D, anti-codon, and T loops). Lineage: Eukaryota; Metazoa; Chordata; Mammalia; Artiodactyla; Bovidae. The record is from Rfam by way of RNAcentral.